GGGGGAUAUUGCACAAUGGGGGAAACCCUGAUGCAGCGACGCCGCGUGAGUGAAGAAGUAUUUCGGUAUGUAAAGCUCUAUCAGCAGGGAAGAAAAUGACGGUACCUGAGUAAGAAGCCCCGGCUAACUAC
Molecule: ribosomal RNA, 131 nt
Filed under: uncultured bacterium
Lineage: Bacteria
Description: partial 16S ribosomal RNA
Rfam family: Bacterial small subunit ribosomal RNA
Source: RNAcentral